RNAcentral lists this ribosomal RNA (467 nucleotides) under uncultured bacterium. Its description in RNAcentral is "partial 16S ribosomal RNA". It matches the Rfam family "Bacterial small subunit ribosomal RNA", at positions 28 to 506 of the family's 1533-position model. The record is from RNAcentral.
GACGAACGCUGGCGGCGUGCUUAACACAUGCAAGUCGAACGGAAAGGCCCUGCUUUUGUGGGGUGCUCGAGUGGCGAACGGGUGAGUAACACGUGAGUAACCUGCCCUUGACUUUGGGAUAACUUCAGGAAACUGGGGCUAAUACCGGAUAGGAGCUCCUGCUGCAUGGUGGGGGUUGGAAAGUUUCGGCGGUUGGGGAUGGACUCGCGGCUUAUCAGCUUGUUGGUGGGGUAGUGGCUUACCAAGGCUUUGACGGGUAGCCGGCCUGAGAGGGUGACCGGCCACAUGGGGACUGAGAUACGGCCCAGACUCCUACGGGAGGCAGCAGUGGGGAAUAUUGCACAAUGGGCGGAAGCCGGAUGCAGCAACGCCGCGUGCGGGAUGACGGCCUUCGGGUUGUAAACCGCUUUCGCCUGUGACGAAGCGUGAGGGACGGUAAUGGGUAAAGAAGCACCGGCUAACUACGU